GGAAUCAACGCUGGCGGCGUGCCUAACACAUGCAAGUCGAACGAGAAAGUGGGAGCAAUCCCACGAGUAAAGUGGCGCACGGGUGAGUAACACGUGACUAACCUACCCUUGAGUGGGGGAUAACCUAGGGAAACCUGGGCUAAUACCGCAUAAUACCUACGGGUCAAAGGAGCAAUUCGCUUAAGGAGGGGGUCGCGGCAGAUUAGUUAGUUGGCGGGGUAAUGGCCCACCAAGACAGUGAUCUGUAU
This 248-nucleotide ribosomal RNA is filed under the name uncultured bacterium. RNAcentral's name for it is "partial small subunit ribosomal RNA". It matches the Rfam family "Bacterial small subunit ribosomal RNA", at positions 27 to 286 of the family's 1533-position model. The record is from RNAcentral.